UACGGAGGUGGCAAGCGUUGCUCGGAAUCACUGGGCGUAAAGGGCGCAUAGGCGGGGAGGUAAGUCGGGUGUGAAAUCCCUUGGCCCAACCGAGGAACUGCGCCCGAGACUGCUUCUCUUGAGUCCCGGAGAGGAAGGUGGAAUUCCCGGUGUAGCGGUGAAAUGCGUAGAUAUCUGGAGGAACACCGGUGGCGAAGGCGGCAUCCUGGACCGGCAUUGACGCUGAGGAGCGAAAGCCAGGGGAGCAAACGGG
RNAcentral lists this ribosomal RNA (253 nucleotides) under uncultured bacterium. Its description in RNAcentral is "partial 16S ribosomal RNA". It matches the Rfam family "Bacterial small subunit ribosomal RNA", at positions 524 to 776 of the family's 1533-position model. The record is from RNAcentral.